CCUACGGGAGGCAGCAGUGAGGAAUAUUGGUCAAUGGGCGGAAGUCUGAACCAGCCAAGUCGCGUGAGGGAAUAAGGCCUUACGGGUCGUAAACCUCUUUUGCCGGGGAGCAAGGGCGGGGACGUGUCCAGACACGGAGAGUACCCGGAGAAAAAGCAUCGGCGAACACCGGGACAGCAGCCGCGGUAAUACGGAGGAUGCGAGCGUUAUCCGGAUUUAUUGGGUUUAAAGGGUGCGUAGGCGGUUUGAUAAGUUAGAGGUGAAAUGUCGGGGCUCAACCCCGAAACUGCCUCUAAUACUGUUGGACUAGAGAAUAGUUGCGGUAGGCGGAAUGUAUGGUGUAGCGGUGAAAUGCUUAGAGAUCAUACAGAACACCGAUUGCGAAGGCAGCUUACCAAACUAUAUCUGACGUUGAGGCACGAAAGCGUGGGUAGCAAACAGGAUUAGAUACCCCUGUAGUC
RNAcentral lists this ribosomal RNA (461 nucleotides) under uncultured bacterium. RNAcentral describes it as "partial 16S ribosomal RNA". It matches the Rfam family "Bacterial small subunit ribosomal RNA", at positions 338 to 795 of the family's 1533-position model. The record is from RNAcentral.